UAGAAUAAUAUGUGUUCAAAAAGGGGGCUCUUAUUUGAAAAACAAAACUCUAUACUCAUUUAAGGUAUACGGAGUAAGGGUGAACAAUUAAAAAAAAACAUUUUUAAACAAAGCUUCAACGAUUCCACAAUGAUUAUAUAAAUUGAGAAAUAAAUGUAUAAAAAGAAAAAAAUCCACUUAGUGUAGCGAUUGGUUUCACUAAGACGCGUGUGUGCUCCUCCCUGCCCGGAAAAUAUUUUUUCGAAAAAAACAAAAA
Cinara cedri is the source of this 256-nucleotide non-coding RNA. The record is from the annotation of a GenBank genome assembly. Lineage: Eukaryota; Metazoa; Arthropoda; Insecta; Hemiptera; Aphididae.